UGCGUAGGCGGUUUGAUAAGUCAGCGGUGAAAUAUUUCAGCUUAACUGGAAGGGUGCCGUUGAUACUGUCGAGCUUGAAUUUAGUUGCUGUGGGUGGAAUGUGUGGUGUAGCGGUGAAAUGCAUAGAUAUCACACAGAAUAUCGAUUGCGAAGGCAGCUCACAAAGCUAAUAUUGACGCUGAUGCACGAAAGUGUGGGGAUCAAACAG
Molecule: ribosomal RNA, 208 nt
Filed under: uncultured Bacteroidota bacterium
Lineage: Bacteria; Pseudomonadati; Bacteroidota
Description: uncultured Bacteroidetes bacterium partial 16S ribosomal RNA
Rfam family: Bacterial small subunit ribosomal RNA
Source: RNAcentral